This 298-nucleotide unclassified non-coding RNA is filed under the name plant metagenome. RNAcentral's name for it is "partial contains 5.8S ribosomal RNA, internal transcribed spacer 2, and large subunit ribosomal RNA". The stretch from base 1 to 105 matches the Rfam family "5.8S ribosomal RNA", at positions 50 to 154 of the family's 154-position model. The record is from RNAcentral.
GAAAUGCGAUAAGUAAUGUGAAUUGCAGAAUUCAGUGAAUCAUCCAAUCUUUGAACGCACAUUGCGCCCCCUGGUAUUCCGGGGGGCAUGCCUGUUCGAGCGUCAUUUCACCACUCAAGCCUCGCUUGGUAUUGGGCAACGCGGUCCGCCGCGUGCCUCAAAUCGACCGGCUGGGUCUUCUGUCCCCUAAGCGUUGUGGAAACUAUUCGCUAAAGGGUGUUCGGGAGGCUACGCCGUAAAACAACCCCAUUUCUAAGGUUGACCUCGGAUCAGGUAGGGAUACCCGCUGAACUUAAGC